GAGAGAGAGAGAGAGAGAGCGGCUGUGCUUCAUUCAGAAAAAGCAGGGGGGCGUCAGAAACGAAGCGAGGGAGCAAACUAAGCAGAGAGGUGGAGAUCUGUCUGUUAUCUGUUAGUGUGGACUGAAAUGCGCUCGGCGCUGCCUCUGAGCCGCAAGCAGCUAAUGAUGCGUGGAGAUCAGCGAUAAACCAGCGGAUACACAGGUGGAGCUGUAACAAUUGUGUCUGUAAGAACGACGCACAGCAUGCAAGGAAACUGAGAAGACACUCGUUCAACAUGACAUCCCCUCCGCCCUCAUCUCAGCCAUAGGAACACACACACACACACACACACACACGCAGAAGAACACACACCAUCACACUACAGCCCCAGGGUUUGUGAGGUGUGUGCUUUGAGGGAUCAUGUCUGUGGUUUUCACACCCGACGGGAUUGAGGAGGGCGAUGGCUCUCUGUCCACCGACGCUUCCGCAGGCAUCUGUGGCAAAAGCAGCCCGUCGGCGCCUGCUAAAGACACCAAUGCCGACAGCACAGAACCAGAUGACAACCUCUCCCAGGAAGCACAGCGACGCUGUCAGAAUCACGGCCACACUAGGAAACGAGCCAAGGUAAAGCAUGCGAGGACACACACACUUCUCUCCUAAACAUGA
Molecule: long non-coding RNA, 646 nt
Organism: Sinocyclocheilus grahami
Lineage: Eukaryota; Metazoa; Chordata; Actinopteri; Cypriniformes; Cyprinidae
Exons: 5
Source: RefSeq, a predicted model, not a curated record